GAAAGGAAGAAUAUUUUCGCCGCUUGAGUGUUGUGAUGGAGUCCAAAAGUAUCAGAGCCGCUUUGGUGAAAAGUAGUAUACUAAUCUUGCUGCUCGGACUGGGCUCGGCAGACGAGUGCUACGAUGAAUGUUUCCGCGUAUGCACGCGUGAUGGAGGGUCUCCAUGGAUUUGCAAGUACUCUUGCGAGGCGUUGUGUAAUUCUAAGUCCGUGUCACAGGUUGAUCCCAGUUGCAGCCUUCCAUGCGUCACAUCCUCAUGCCGCGAUCUGCAGCCAGAGGAGGAGGGAAUGGAAGCUUGCGUGGGUACCUGCUUCAAGAAAUGCGCCAGACAGACUCCUUGAAUGCGAGGAGAUUUCGGAAGAAAACAAUAAACAAAGCUUUUCUUUGUAAAACCCCCCAAAAAAAAGCUUUUCUCGUGCCCGAUGCUGACGCUGCUAGAAGUGUAAUAAGAUAAUAUGAGGAUAUACUAAUACUAUUAAUAAAUAAGACGUAUCAACUGGUCCUCUUUGUGAGA
Elaeis guineensis (African oil palm) is the source of this 514-nucleotide non-coding RNA. The record is from RefSeq and is a predicted model, not a curated record. Lineage: Eukaryota; Viridiplantae; Streptophyta; Magnoliopsida; Arecales; Arecaceae.